This 84-nucleotide microRNA precursor is filed under the name Myotis lucifugus (little brown bat). Its description in RNAcentral is "miRNA (ENSMLUG00000017891.1)". The record is from RNAcentral. Lineage: Eukaryota; Metazoa; Chordata; Mammalia; Chiroptera; Vespertilionidae.
AGUACAGGUGUUUAUUGAAAAACAUCUACAUGUAAGUGGACCUGUGUAGUUCAAACCGGUGUGGUUCAAGAGUCAACUGUGCUU